GUCCCACUGUGAGGAUCCUGGUCUGUCUUCCUACAACCUCCUUCUGGAUGCUGACAGGACUGCUGUUUGAUCCACUCGAAGGCAACUGCUCCAGGCUGAAGAAGGCAAUCUCCCAGAUACGAGUGAAUUGCAAAGAUCACCAAGGCUUAUAUGGGAAGCGCAUGAGAAUCCAGAGCAUCUGAGACCCUAUGUCACAUCUCAUCCUGAAACCAUUCUUCCUUACCUGUCACUCAGAGGGGCAUUCCUGCAGAGAGCAAGUUAUCUAAGUAAAGGACUAAUUAUUAAAAAACAAGUUCAAGAAGAGUUAACUACCAGGAAAUGGAGGAUUCUGGAAUGUGACGAACAAUUUAUAUCUUUAUGGAGAAAAUAGGAGGGA
Long non-coding RNA from Strigops habroptila (Kakapo), 376 nucleotides. RefSeq lists it as uncharacterized. The record is from RefSeq and is a predicted model, not a curated record. Lineage: Eukaryota; Metazoa; Chordata; Aves; Psittaciformes; Psittacidae. The transcript has 4 exons.